Molecule: ribosomal RNA, 519 nt
Filed under: uncultured eukaryote
Lineage: Eukaryota
Description: SSU rRNA
Rfam family: Eukaryotic small subunit ribosomal RNA
Source: RNAcentral
AGGGCACCACCAGGAGUGGAGCCUGCGGCUUAAUUUGACUCAACACGGGAAAACUUACCCGGCCCGGACACUGGAAGGAUUGACAGAUUGAGAGCUCUUUCUUGAUUCAGUGGGUGGUGGUGCAUGGCCGUUCUUAGUUGGUGGAGCGAUUUGUCUGGUUAAUUCCGAUAGCGAACGAGACUCUAGCCUACUAAAUAGACCAGAGGCUUCUUAAAACACGUCUCUGGCUGCUUCUUAGAGGGACAGGCGGCGAUUCAGCCGCACGAAACAGAGCAAUAACAGGUCUGUGAUGCCCUUAGAUGUCCGGGGCCGCACGCGCGCUACACUGAAGUGAUCAGCGUGCUUUUUGUACCCUGCUCUGCCAAGAGUGGGUAACCCAAUGAACCUUCUUCGUGAUUGGGAUAGGGGAUUGUAAUUAUUCCCCUUGAACGAGGAAUUCCCAGUAAGCGCGAGUCAUAAGCUCGCGUUGAUUACGUCCCUGCCCUUUGUACACACCGCCCGUCGCUACUACCGAUUGAA